This 254-nucleotide ribosomal RNA is filed under the name uncultured bacterium. RNAcentral describes it as "partial 16S ribosomal RNA". It matches the Rfam family "Bacterial small subunit ribosomal RNA", at positions 524 to 777 of the family's 1533-position model. The record is from RNAcentral.
UACGAAGGGGGCUAGCGUUGCUCGGAAUCACUGGGCGUAAAGGGUGCGUAGGCGGGUCUUUAAGUCAGGGGUGAAAUCCUGGAGCUCAACUCCAGAACUGCCUUUGAUACUGAAGAUCUUGAGUUCGGGAGAGGUGAGUGGAACUGCGAGUGUAGAGGUGAAAUUCGUAGAUAUUCGCAAGAACACCAGUGGCGAAGGCGGCUCACUGGCCCGAUACUGACGCUGAGGCGCGAAAGCCAGGGGAGCAAAGCGGG